AAACCAAUGUUCAUUUGGAUUUUCUUUGUAUUGACCAUUCAUUAUUAUUUUCCAGGUCCAACACAAGCAGGCAUCGUUGGCCGUAAAAGACAAAAGGGAGAGAUGUUCGUUGGUCUUAUGGGACGUCGGUCUUCAAGUGCUGAGGCACCAUCUGAAUGGGAAAGAAUCCAGUACUAUGGUCGAAGGCGCAAAUAAAAUAAUACAAGUGUAAAACCAUCUGAAUGUCCCCUACACCGUUCCAUCAGGAAGGGGAAUUUUUUGGCUAAAUAACCAGUAACUCAAAAUUUGUGCUUACGUUCCUUGGAAUUUACCAACCAUAAACACUGAUGCAAAACCUCCACUUAAAACAAA
This is a long non-coding RNA of Carcharodon carcharias (great white shark), 351 nucleotides long. RefSeq lists it as uncharacterized. The record is from RefSeq and is a predicted model, not a curated record. The transcript has 3 exons. Lineage: Eukaryota; Metazoa; Chordata; Chondrichthyes; Lamniformes; Lamnidae.